Long non-coding RNA from Zingiber officinale, 815 nucleotides. RefSeq lists it as uncharacterized. The record is from RefSeq and is a predicted model, not a curated record. Lineage: Eukaryota; Viridiplantae; Streptophyta; Magnoliopsida; Zingiberales; Zingiberaceae. The transcript has 3 exons.
UUCCUCCUCCUGUUUCGCCCUUCUACGAUUUCCUCCGACCCAGCGCCGCGACGGCACUUCGCACCCGAGCUCACGGCGUCGCGGAGCUCAGCGAAGCCUCGCCGAAGCCUCCAGUCCUCUACUCCGGUUCUCUACCCUUUUUCCUCUCUUCAGUUUGCUGCCUCUUGCGAGGACCGUCGGGCAUGAGGAGCUGAGCUGAAGAUCGGAGACGAUGAGGUCGGAUCGCCGGAACCCUGAACUCGAUCUUAGCUGAGGGUGCGUUCCCAACAGUGGUCACGACGUUCCCUAGCCCUAACACCAAGCUGAUUUCGUCGGAUUUCGCCUCGCCGUUGGUGGGGGAAGCUGUCACUGAGGUAUUGGAGCGGCUUGCUGUGAAGGGCUCGAUCACAAUUCCAGCAGUUGUUCUUCACUCCGAAAACAGUAGGUAUGAGACGUGGUCGAGCGGUAGCCGGUUCUCGUCGUGGUCCGGGACGACCACGGAAACAACCCAUUGAGGCUGAGGAACCAGAACCAGUAACUCAGGAGGCAGAUUCUUCUAGGGAUCCAACAGAUGUAGAGACGGUUAGACGGGGACAGACCCAUCAGACUCCUAGAGAUCAGGGACAUCAGCCUCAGGAGAUCCCUUCAGUCAUACCUUCUGGUAGAAACCAGGAAUUUCAGCCUCAGGGGAUUCCCUCCGGGAUACCAUCUGCAUUUCCUACUCCUACUACUACCGACUGGAUGAGGGAUAGAGCGCGUAUACCAUUGUUGGCAAAGUCCGUCAAGGACAGGGUUACUCUAUACCAGGGCGGAGCAGAUCCUUGGGCUGCACGUAG